GCUACGAUAGUUUAUCUUCAAAACACUAGUCUGUGACGCUAGAGACGGAACUCUCCCCGUAGCU
RNAcentral lists this transfer RNA (64 nucleotides) under Furcifer oustaleti (Oustalet's chamelion). Its description in RNAcentral is "tRNA-His". It matches the Rfam family "tRNA". From Rfam's summary of the family: Transfer RNA (tRNA) molecules are approximately 80 nucleotides in length. Their secondary structure includes four short double-helical elements and three loops (D, anti-codon, and T loops). Lineage: Eukaryota; Metazoa; Chordata; Lepidosauria; Squamata; Chamaeleonidae. The record is from RNAcentral.